UUAAGCGACUAAGCGUACACGGUGGAUGCCCUGGCAGUCAGAGGCGAUGAAGGACGUGCUAAUCUGCGAUAAGCGUCGGUAAGGUGAUAUGAACCGUUAUAACCGGCGAUUUCCGAAUGGGGAAACCCAGUGUGAUUCGUCACACUAUCAUUAACUGAAUCCAUAGGUUAAUGAGGCGAACCGGGGGAACUGAAACAUCUAAGUACCCCGAGGAAAAGAAAUCAACCGAGAUUCCCCCAGUAGCGGCGAGCGAACGGGGAGGAGCCCAGAGCCUGAAUCAGUGUGUGUGUUAGUGGAAGCGUCUGGAAAGGCGCGCGAUACAGGGUGACAGCCCCGUACACAAAAAUGCACAUAUUGUGAGCUCGAUGAGUAGGGCGGGACACGUGGUAUCCUGUCUGAAUAUGGGGGGCCCAUCCUCCAAGGCUAAAUACUCCUGACUGACCGAUAGUGAACCAGUACCGUGAGGGAAAGGCGAAAAGAACCCCGGCGAGGGGAGUGAAAAAGAACCUGAAACCGUGUACGUACAAGCAGUGGGAGCACGCUUAGGCGUGUGACUGCGUACCUUUUGUAUAAUGGGUCAGCGACUUAUAUUCUGUAGCAAGGUUAACCGAAUAGGGGAGCCGAAGGGAAACCGAGUCUUAACUGGGCGUUAAGUUGCAGGGUAUAGACCCGAAACCCGGUGAUCUAGCCAUGGGCAGGUUGAAGGUUGGGUAACACUAACUGGAGGACCGAACCGACUAAUGUUGAAAAAUUAGCGGAUGACUUGUGGCUGGGGGUGAAAGGCCAAUCAAACCGGGAGAUAGCUGGUUCUCCCCGAAAGCUAUUUAGGUAGCGCCUCGUGAAUUCAUCUCCGGGGGUAGAGCACUGUUUCGGCAAGGGGGUCAUCCCGACUUACCAACCCGAUGCAAACUGCGAAUACCGGAGAAUGUUAUCACGGGAGACACACGGCGGGUGCUAACGUCCGUCGUGAAGAGGGAAACAACCCAGACCGCCAGCUAAGGUCCCAAAGUCAUGGUUAAGUGGGAAACGAUGUGGGAAGGCCCAGACAGCCAGGAUGUUGGCUUAGAAGCAGCCAUCAUUUAAAGAAAGCGUAAUAGCUCACUGGUCGAGUCGGCCUGCGCGGAAGAUGUAACGGGGCUAAACCAUGCACCGAAGCUGCGGCAGCGACGCUUAUGCGUUGUUGGGUAGGGGAGCGUUCUGUAAGCCUGCGAAGGUGUGCUGUGAGGCAUGCUGGAGGUAUCAGAAGUGCGAAUGCUGACAUAAGUAACGAUAAAGCGGGUGAAAAGCCCGCUCGCCGGAAGACCAAGGGUUCCUGUCCAACGUUAAUCGGGGCAGGGUGAGUCGACCCCUAAGGCGAGGCCGAAAGGCGUAGUCGAUGGGAAACAGGUUAAUAUUCCUGUACUUGGUGUUACUGCGAAGGGGGGACGGAGAAGGCUAUGUUGGCCGGGCGACGGUUGUCCCGGUUUAAGCGUGUAGGCUGGUUUUCCAGGCAAAUCCGGAAAAUCAAGGCUGAGGCGUGAUGACGAGGCACUACGGUGCUGAAGCAACAAAUGCCCUGCUUCCAGGAAAAGCCUCUAAGCAUCAGGUAACAUCAAAUCGUACCCCAAACCGACACAGGUGGUCAGGUAGAGAAUACCAAGGCGCUUGAGAGAACUCGGGUGAAGGAACUAGGCAAAAUGGUGCCGUAACUUCGGGAGAAGGCACGCUGAUAUGUAGGUGAAGUCCCUUGCGGAUGGAGCUGAAAUCAGUCGAAGAUACCAGCUGGCUGCAACUGUUUAUUAAAAACACAGCACUGUGCAAACACGAAAGUGGACGUAUACGGUGUGACGCCUGCCCGGUGCCGGAAGGUUAAUUGAUGGGGUCAGCGCAAGCGAAGCUCUUGAUCGAAGCCCCGGUAAACGGCGGCCGUAACUAUAACGGUCCUAAGGUAGCGAAAUUCCUUGUCGGGUAAGUUCCGACCUGCACGAAUGGCGUAAUGAUGGCCAGGCUGUCUCCACCCGAGACUCAGUGAAAUUGAACUCGCUGUGAAGAUGCAGUGUACCCGCGGCAAGACGGAAAGACCCCGUGAACCUUUACUAUAGCUUGACACUGAACAUUGAGCCUUGAUGUGUAGGAUAGGUGGGAGGCUUUGAAGUGUGGACGCCAGUCUGCAUGGAGCCGGCCUUGAAAUACCACCCUUUAAUGUUUGAUGUUCUAACGUGGACCCGUGAUCCGGGUUGCGGACAGUGUCUGGUGGGUAGUUUGACUGGGGCGGUCUCCUCCUAAAGAGUAACGGAGGAGCACGAAGGUUGGCUAAUCCUGGUCGGACAUCAGGAGGUUAGUGCAAUGGCAUAAGCCAGCUUGACUGCGAGCGUGACGGCGCGAGCAGGUGCGAAAGCAGGUCAUAGUGAUCCGGUGGUUCUGAAUGGAAGGGCCAUCGCUCAACGGAUAAAAGGUACUCCGGGGAUAACAGGCUGAUACCGCCCAAGAGUUCAUAUCGACGGCGGUGUUUGGCACCUCGAUGUCGGCUCAUCACAUCCUGGGGCUGAAGUAGGUCCCAAGGGUAUGGCUGUUCGCCAUUUAAAGUGGUACGCGAGCUGGGUUUAGAACGUCGUGAGACAGUUCGGUCCCUAUCUGCCGUGGGCGCUGGAGAACUGAGGGGGGCUGCUCCUAGUACGAGAGGACCGGAGUGGACGCAUCACUGGUGUUCGGGUUGUCAUGCCAAUGGCACUGCCCGGUAGCUAAAUGCGGAAGAGAUAAGUGCUGAAAGCAUCUAAGCACGAAACUUGCCCCGAGAUGAGUUCUCCCUGACCCUUUAAGGGUCCUGAAGGAACGUUGAAGACGACGACGUUGAUAGGCCGGGUGUGUAAGCGCAGCGAUGCGUUGAGCUAACCGGUACUAAUGAACCGUGAGGCUUAACCUU
Molecule: ribosomal RNA, 2902 nt
Filed under: Shigella sonnei
Lineage: Bacteria; Pseudomonadati; Pseudomonadota; Gammaproteobacteria; Enterobacterales; Enterobacteriaceae
Description: bacterial LSU rRNA
Rfam family: Bacterial large subunit ribosomal RNA
Source: RNAcentral